UUAUCGAAGCACUGCCAUCUCAAUUGCGGGACAAAACAAAGUAAGUAGGCCGUUUUGAAGACCGGCGGCGCCCUUUGCCACAGCUGUGGCCCCGCACUGCCUCGGCCCCCAGUCCACCACGGAGGCGCUCUACGCAGACUGUUCAUCAACAAAGCAGAUCAUCGCUGAAACUGAGCUACCGGCAACACCAUCGUCCUAAAGCCAGUCGAGCAGUCAAUGCGGUGCCUAGUUUCCGUGGAGCCAGCGCUGCCCUGGCCAAUCACACAGAUGUCGACAAGGUAGCCUUCACCGGAUCAACGGAUGUAGAAAGCCUCUGUAGAAGCCUCUGCUUCAACAUGGGCCAGUGCUGCUAUGCCGGCUCUCGCACCUAGAAGAGGACCGUGGGCACUGCCUUGGAUCUGAACACCGAGCAGGGUCCCCAGGUCAAUCCGGAGCAGAUGGAUAAGAUCCUUGGAAUGAUCCAGCAGGGCAAGCAGCAGGGCGCCAAGCUGGUGGCCGGUGGUAGCCGUCCCGAAGGACUUCCCGGCCCCUUUGUCCAGCCAACGGUGUGGACAAUCUGGACUAGGCCAACUAAAUUUUCAGUGGCCUGCGUGCCGGCACUACAAUGCCCUGACUGCCCAGGCUCCUUUCGGACAAUACAACAACAUAGUUGAACAAAAAAUUCCUCGCCAAUCUGGUACGGUGGCAAGAAGCAGAAUCGUCCUAGAAGAUAAGGGCGGAAUGUGUUUCUCAUUAGACGGAAUUCCUCAUUCAGUAAUCCGACUCUAUAAUGCAAUAAAACAUCCACAGAGCAUCCUGCUGCCACUUUAGGCAAUCAUUUUUAUAGCGUUCCCCGCCUUUCCGGCGAUCAUUCGUCAUUCUUUCCCAACCAAACAUUUAUAUCUUAAACUCACUAAAAACAUUACGUUUCUCCAAUCAUUCGCAGUCCAAGUUUCGUUGAGUUUGGACCACUUUCUGGAUCAAAGUGCCAAAAGUGGGCCACAUUUCACUGUCCGCGACUGUUCGAUGGAUAAGCGCGCACUAUUUGAAUUGAGAAUUCCUCCGAGACAAGACACCAACUAAUUUGGAUUUCCUUGUAUAAAUAAAUAAUCAAAUAAAA
Long non-coding RNA from Drosophila pseudoobscura, 1099 nucleotides. RefSeq lists it as uncharacterized. The record is from RefSeq and is a predicted model, not a curated record. Lineage: Eukaryota; Metazoa; Arthropoda; Insecta; Diptera; Drosophilidae. The transcript has 2 exons.